UAGGGAAUCUUCCGCAAUGGGCGAAAGCUUGACGGAGCAACGCCGCGUGAGUGAUGAAGGUCUUCGGAUCGUAAAACUCUGUUAUUAGGGAAGAACAAAUGUGUAAGUAACUAUGCACGUCUUGACGGUACCUAAUCAGAAAGCCACGGCUAACUACGUGCCAGCAGCCGCGGUAAUACGUAGGUGGCAAGCGUUAUCCGGAAUUAUUGGGCGUAAAGCGCGCGUAGGCGGUUUUUUAAGUCUGAUGUGAAAGCCCACGGCUCAACCGUGGAGGGUCAUUGGAAACUGGAAAACUUGAGUGCAGAAGAGGAAAGUGGAAUUCCAUGUGUAGCGGUGAAAUGCGCAGAGAUAUGGAGGAACACCAGUAGCGAAGGCGACUUUCUGGUCUGUAACUGACGCUGAUGUGCGAAAGCGUGGGGAUCAAACAGG
Molecule: ribosomal RNA, 429 nt
Filed under: Actinomycetes bacterium
Lineage: Bacteria; Bacillati; Actinomycetota; Actinomycetes
Description: Actinobacteria bacterium partial 16S ribosomal RNA
Rfam family: Bacterial small subunit ribosomal RNA
Source: RNAcentral